This 5429-nucleotide long non-coding RNA is filed under the name Homo sapiens (human). The record is from RNAcentral. Lineage: Eukaryota; Metazoa; Chordata; Mammalia; Primates; Hominidae.
CGGCAGGCUCUCUCCAAAUGCCUGGAUUCUGCUGGGGGAGUAAGAAGUCAGGAGUAGUUUGUCUGAUGGUAUUGGGAUCUGCUUUGCAAUUGCCAAGCGCUAAGGCACAAGCUGGCAGAUGUGCUGCGGCUCUGCUACGGGCGGCUCUGUCGCCUUCAGUCGCAGGCUGGUUCUUUGGGGGAAAGUUGUAUCCAAUAUUGGUGACUCCCGGGAAUAGUCUGUUUGUGUGCUACUUAAUGGUCUCUAGGCUUCCUUGUCUUGUAGAACCUUGUUAGAAAGGAGCCUUGGUGAUUAAGAGGCUAUGGAGUACACAGCCUUGCUUAGCAGAUGAGCCCUUAUCCAUUUCCCGUUUCCUUAAAAACGGCUAAUUGAUGGAUGCUGCAGAAAACAUGCACUCUGCUAAUAAGAUGCUGAUGACAAAAUAGGUAUCAGGAAAGGCAUUUACUGCUUAUGAGCACCAUCAGCUUUCUUUCGAGUGAGAUUGUGGCUUUGUAGUAAAGUUUUUUUUUAAGUAAUAUGCUAAUAGUUUUAUUCUAAAUCGGCCAGCGCUGAAUAUCUUCAGGAAAAUGGGUUCCAUGAGAAGUGACAUCCUCCUCGAAUCAAAAGAAGAGUUGGGACUUAAACAUAAGCCUAUAAGCACUCAGAUUAUUGAGAAGUAUGCAUAAAAAAUGGACAAGCUGAAGAUAUGGACAAUUUUACUGAUGUUUAAUUGCACAAUUGUUAAAAUUGCAUCACUGCCAUCGAGGUCAAUUUGACUUAAGUAACUCUGUUUAGAAAUAUGAAUUAUGAUAUAAAAACAAUUAAGCAAGCAAUACUUUUAUGUUAUUUAAAACCUUGCUGUAUAGGAAAAGCUACUUUUAGGCCAGGCACAAUGGCUCACACCUGUAAUCCCGGCACUUUGGGAAGCUGAGGUGGGAAGAUCGCUUGAGCUCAGGAGUUUGAGAGCAGCCUGGGCAACAUAGCGAGACCUCAUCUCUACUAAAAAUACAAAAAAUUAGUCAGGCAUGGUGUCGUGCACCUGUAGUCCCAGCUGCUUGGGAGGCUGAGGCAGGAGGAUCACUUGAGCCCAGGAGAUUAAGGCUGCAGUGAGCUGUGAUUCUCAGGAUGAUGGAGUGAGUGAUGGAAUAGGUUGCCAACUGUAGUUACUCCACUCAGCACAGAAUGGCUGCGGGGAAAUAUAAUCAGACAUGCCCAAAGAAGUCUGCUUAGGGUGAAACAAAUACCUUUGAGGUUUAAAUCAGGUAAAGGAAGGAGAGACUGUUUCUACAGGUGUCAUACAAAAAUCAAUACUGAGCCAAGGAUUAUUGGAUCCCAUAGAACCACGGAGACUUGGUAGUGAAAUUCUUCCAAAGGUCAUUCCAUCCGUGCAGGCAGAUGGUGUUCCUAGGUUUGGAAAUAUAAAUCCCAUGGGAAGUCAGCUGAAGACCAUUUUAUGCAUCACUCAUCCUGUUAGAGCCCUGUGCUGUUCUGUCUCUCUAUAAGACUGGCUGAAACCACCACGGUUGUUUACAAUUUAUGCUCUAACUUUGGAUCACCUAGUUAAUACUCUAACUCCGAUUAUUACCAAAGACAAUGUUCUAUAAAAGAUAUUGUCUAUUAGAAGGAUGCUUCUGCAUUAUUAAUAAAAUCACAGGGAAAAUGCAACAUUUUGGAUGUCACAUCUGAUAAGUUGGCAGUUAAAGAACAGAAACAGCAAUAAGACUGCGUGGCUACAUUUUCCCAGUGCCACCAACUGGGAUUUAAGCUGACUAACAUUUUGAAAGCCCAGCCCAUUUCAUUCACAGCAGGAUGGCAGGAAGAUAACACCUGCAAAAGUAUGCCACAGUUAUGUUGGGAAUUUCAAUAUGAUGGAGCUCUGAGUGUACAUGUAUGUGAGGAAAAGGAGGUAAACAAGGAGUUAGAAAGAUGUGAUGAGACCAGGUGGUGAUGGACUGAAUAUAAAGCAAAGACAUCUGGAUUUUUAAUUCUGUAGGGAAUAGCUGACCAAGGUAUAUGAUUACAUGUCUGACCAAUUCCCUCCUCUCUACUUCUGUCUUUACCUUAUCAAGUCCUAAGUCAAAUCCAACCUUUUGCAUUUUUUAGAAAAAAGGUCUCGUUCUGUUUGUUGUCCAGGCUGGAGUGCAGUGGUGCAAUCAUGGCUCACUGCAUUCUCAAACUCUGGGCUCAAGGAUCCUCCUGCCUCAGCUUCCAGAGUAGCUGAGACUACAGGCACCUGCCACCAUGUUCAGCUAAUUAAAAAAAAAAAAAACUUUUUUGUGAGGUCAUUAGAAUAAAUACAACAUUUCUCACAGGCACAGAAUCCUAAGUGCCUGUGCUAUCUUCUUACUAUAGUUAUAGAACCAGCUUAUAUAAUUUGGUUUUGCUUUAAGUAUAAUGUGGCAAUGUGUUCAUAAAAAUUGAAAUACACUUCAUGCUACUAAAAAUGAUAAUUUUCUGAGAAUGGAAAACAAGACUAGCAUGUAUUUACCAAUGUUAUUCAAGAUUGUCUCAAGAAAAGCAUUAUUCAUUUGGAAAAAAUAAUUGAUCACGAGGUAGGCACACUGAAAUACUGUUUUAAGGAACAGGAAAUUUUGCACUAUCUACUUCUCUUAUUUUGAAAGUUCAAGCGCUUGGUAAAGUCACCUUGGAAAAAUGGAGGUGAUUUAUUAAUUUAUUGUUUGUCUGGACUGACAGUGUCUUGACAAAUAAAAAGAUAUCCAUCAGACAUAUCUAUUUCUUUCUCUUAAAGCUAACAAUUUAGUACAAUAGUGGAACGUCUUUGGCCAUCCUGGUCUCCUGUAGGUUUGGCUGUGGAGGAGCAGGUGCGAGCUUCCAAAGUGUCUUUACAAGUGUCGCAGUGGGGCUUCCCUCCCAUGCCUCUGCAGGAGACAGCUCAUCUGUUUAAUCCGUAUGUUUUAGUCAACCUUUCUUAUUAUGCAGACAGGGCUCUGAGCCUCAGCUGGAUUUUUGACUCUCUGAAUGAAUUGAUGGGGCUCUUUGAUCUAAGAAGAGUGAAUAUAAACUAUGACUGUAUACUUGUGUUAUGACAAGAAAGGAAAUAAUAAUUAUCGCUCUUUUAAAAUAUCUGAAGAUUAAAACCUUUGCCUUUCAUUUAAAAACAGCUUUGUAAAUGUGACCAUUGUUUUUAUUGCUAAUAAUAUGUGGGGAAUAGGGAGAGAUUAGUCAAGGGGGACGAAGUUAUAGUUAGAUAGGAGGAAUAAGUUCAAGUGUUCUGUUUGGUUAACAACCUUGUGUUGUAUAUUUCAAAAUAGCUAGAAGAGAGGAUUUUGAAUGUUCUCACCUCAAAGAAAUGACAGAGGUAUGAGGUGAUGGAUAUGCUAAAUACUAAUUUGAUUAUUAUACAAUGUAUACAUGUAUUAAAACAUCACACUGUACUCCAUGAUAGUUAUUACAUGUGAAUUAAAACAACAAUUAAAAAGAAUGAUACAAUUUUUUUUUCUUGCCUCUGUAUCCACCAGAAGUUAGCAUAGGGAGGAAAUUCUAAUUGUGCUACUAUCGCACAGCUUGCAUCUUAUCUCAUGACUGAGAAAUAUUUAAGUGCUGUUCAGCAAGGUAAGCAUGAGAAAGAGAAGAUAAGAAUUCACAUAACUGGCCGGGCGCAGUGGCUCAUGCCUGCAAUCCCAGCACUUUGGGAGGUCGAGGCGGGCGGAUCACGAGGUCAGGAGAUCCAGACCAUCCUGGUUAACACGGUGAAACCCCAUCUCUACUAAAAAUACAAAAAUUAGCCGGGCAUGGUGGUGCGUGCCUGUAGUCCCAGCUACUUGGGAGACUGAAGCAGCAGCAUUUGAGAGCUUAGCAGAAAUGUAGAAUGUCGGGCUCCAUCUCGGACCUACUGAAUCAAAAUCUGCAUUUUAGCAAGAUCUCCAGGUGAUAUACAGGAUCAUUAAAGUUAGAGAAGUCCUGGUAUACAGGAUAAGUCUUACCAAUUGCUGUAUAGACCUAUGUUCACUUCAUGGAUAACAUUUGCUCUAGAAAAGAAAAAUUAACCAGUGGGUGACUGAUCGUACCCGCCAGCUGGCUAAUGUCAUAAUUAACAAAGUUGCUACUACAUCUGCAAAGUUUAAUCGAAAAAUUUGCCAGUGAUAUGAUGGCCUUGUCACAGAGAUCACAAGGGACACGGAGUUGACUUUUGCUCAAGGUGGAACGACAGAGCUGUGUAGGCAAGAUGAGAAAUUGCGAACUUGUUCGGCCAAAGGAGGCUAAUAAUGAAGGGGCCGGGAAGGAGGCCAGUGCUACCAGGGUUAUCUCACAACCUCAGAUGCUGGAUAAGUCGACGGAGGCAGAAUCGCUUUGGGAUGACAUUCAGAAAGCCUGGAGUGAUUACUUGCAAGAGAAAAGCCUACCUAUUCUUUCCAAGGUGCAGGAAUAUUCCCCUGACCUGCUCAUCCAGUGGUCCAGUAAUGAAUUACUGGAGACCUGCCUUAGACAAAGAAUGCACUCGGAGCCCCAACACACCUAAAGCCAUGCUUUGAAGGAUCUGCCAAGCUCACUUUUAAUCAUGAGAAAGAAAUUACCCACACGGAGUCAGCAGAAAAUGAGAAAGUAGAGCUCGUGCUGUGAAUAAUUCCAGCAAGUGCCAAGGGGCUAGUUGAGGAAUGGCUUCAUGAGGAACAUGCUCUAGGGGAACUAUUAAUAGCCCACCAGUCGGGUAGGCAGCAUUCAAUCCUUCUAUGCCUUCUUUCGCCACCUGUUGAGGUCUUUCUUCUGAAACAAAGAAGAAAUAGACAAAUCAGACUUGCCCUCUUGGAAAUGUGGUCCAGAUUUCUCUACUCCCAAGCUCCAAAAAAGGUAUACAUUGGAUGGGCUAGAUCAACUCCUCCUGAGAGCCAUAAAUCCGCCAAGAGUUGUUUUCCAUGUAAGGGUGUGGUACAAUGGGGAACACCUGAUGUUGGAGGAAAGCAGGAGGACUUUAGAGUGGAGUUGCAUUCUAAUCUCUCUGCCGCUUCAACUAUGUGACCUGGGGCAAAUGAUAUAAACUCUAUGAGCCUCUUUCCUUAUCUUUAAAAUGAAGAGAAGUAAUACCUACCUUGUAGGGCUGUUGUGAGGAUUAAAUGAAGUAAUGCAUACAGUGCCUAACAAAGUAUUUAACAUCAUAUUUUUUAAAAGCUCAUGAAAUAUUAGUUUUUCUUCCUUCCCCUCUUUCUAUUUUCUCUCCUGUUCCCUUUUCUCUCCCUCCUCUGCCCUCUCCUUCCUUCAGAUGUUAGUCUAAAACAGCACCUUGGAUCUAAGCAGCACCUUUGAGAAAGAAAAGACUGCUUCAAGAAUGUCUAGUUGCACCUCCUUUCCGUAUGUGGCCUAAAUGCCUAGGUUGGAUCAAUAGUUUAAUUUUUUUAUUGAACUGUUUAAUAUUGACUAUGGACUUACAUUCACUUUUACUGUUUUCUGUAUAUUUACUUUUGCUUGAAGUGUUUUAAUAUUGACUAUUUACC